RNAcentral lists this long non-coding RNA (354 nucleotides) under Lepisosteus oculatus (spotted gar). Its description in RNAcentral is "lncRNA (ENSLOCG00000021736.1)". Lineage: Eukaryota; Metazoa; Chordata; Actinopteri; Semionotiformes; Lepisosteidae. The record is from RNAcentral.
CGGUGUUCGGACAGUCCACCAGGCUUUGACCACUCUUAACGGUCAGUUUUAGGUUUCCUUCCUUGGGGGGGGGGGGUGGUUCUAGCCGGCAUCUGGAAUCCUUAGUUAUCCCCCUUUCCUUUAAUUUUUUAUUCAGAUAUAUUUUUAAAUUAAAAUUUUGACAGGUUUUGGCUUAAUGCAGACUAUAUGUGCAUUACUGGAAUGAAUAUCAUUAUGUUAGUACUAAGACAAUUUUUGUGUGAUUUUAUAAUGUACGGUGCAUUUUCCCAGUGGUGUAAUUCAAGUGGAGAGAACCCUAGUGACUGCACAGGAUGUGGAAGAGACUGCUCAAUUUUGCUUCUACUUCCAUAUUAG